This 253-nucleotide ribosomal RNA is filed under the name uncultured prokaryote. RNAcentral's name for it is "partial 16S ribosomal RNA". It matches the Rfam family "Bacterial small subunit ribosomal RNA", at positions 524 to 776 of the family's 1533-position model. The record is from RNAcentral.
GACAGAGGAUGCAAGCGUUAUCCGGAAUGAUUGGGCGUAAAGCGUCUGUAGGUGGUUUUUAAAGUCUUCUGUCAAAGAUUAGGGCUUAACCCUGGGCCGGCAGAAGAAACUUAGAAGCUUGAGUUCGGUAGGGGCAGAGGGAAUUUCCGGUGGAGCGGUGAAAUGCGCAGAGAUCGGGAAGAACACCAACAGCGAAGGCACUCUGCUGGGCCAAGACUGACACUCAGAGACGAAAGCCAGGGGAGCGAAUGGG